RNAcentral lists this ribosomal RNA (253 nucleotides) under uncultured bacterium. Its description in RNAcentral is "partial 16S ribosomal RNA". It matches the Rfam family "Bacterial small subunit ribosomal RNA", at positions 524 to 776 of the family's 1533-position model. The record is from RNAcentral.
UACGUAGGAUGCAAGCGUUGCUCGGAAUUACUGGGCGUAAAGGGCGCGUAGGUGGUCCUGUAAGUCAGAUGUGAAAUCCCUUGGCUUAACCGGGGAAUUGCAUUUGAAACUGUGGGACUUGAGUACGGGAGAGGGGAGUGGAAUUCCUGGUGUAGCGGUGAAAUGCGUAGAUAUCAGGAAGAACACCUGUGGCGAAGGCGAUUCUCUGGACCGAUACUGACACUGAGGCGCGAAAGCGUGGGUAGCAAACAGG